AGAAUCAACGCUGGCGGCGUGCCUAACACAUGCAAGUCGAACGCGAAAGGGGAGCAAUCCCUGAGUAGAGUGGCAAACGGGUGAGUAACACGUGGGUGACCUGCCUUCGAGUGGGGGAUAACGUCCCGAAAGGGACGCUAAUACCGCAUGACAUCCUGUCCUUAGACGGACGGAGAUCAAAGCUAGGGAUCGCAAGACCUGGCGCUUGAAGAGGGGCCCGCGCCUGAUUAGCUAGUUGGUGAGGUAACGCUCACCAAGGCUUCGAUCAGUA
RNAcentral lists this ribosomal RNA (271 nucleotides) under uncultured soil bacterium. RNAcentral describes it as "partial 16S ribosomal RNA". It matches the Rfam family "Bacterial small subunit ribosomal RNA", at positions 26 to 285 of the family's 1533-position model. The record is from RNAcentral.